GACGCGGGCCUGCAGCCCUGCAGUGGGCAUUGGCUAGAACACCAUUCAACUGCAGCUAUGUUAAUGGCUUUGGCCAAGUAACACUUGAAGUUCAACUGAGCCAGAAAGGACAGAGACGAGUGCUACUGAAGUGGAAAUGUCUUAAAUCCUGUUUUGUGAUUUCCCCGCCUCAGAGCUGAGUCACCCCCUGCCCGGAGAAAGGAUCCUUCAUUUCAUGGCUCACUCACUUCCUAUCCAAGCCAUCUCAAGUGAAGGGAGAAAGAACCAAGGAAUCCCUCCUGCGCCUGGACCUGAAGACGAAGGAAGGACUGUAAUCCCAGCUUCUCUGGAGGACGAGGCAGGAAGAGUUCCAGGCCACUCUGGGAAAUUUAGAGACUCUCAAAAAAAAAAAAAAAAAAAAUCAAAAGGAAUGGAAACUUCAAGGGGUCACACUACAGUGGAUGACCUACUCAGCACAGAUGGGUCCUGUGCCCUAGCACCCAGUAGGUAAACCACCUGCUUGUCUGUUCCCUAGCAUCUAAUACUGGUAAGAGAGAAAAAGCCCCCAACUUCCUCUGCCUCUCUCCUCACUCCCAUCCCAACUCAGAGUCCCAGGUCGGUUAAGAACCCCCUAACCCCACAGGCAGCUGUCCUUUGCACUCAGCCAACCAAGGUGGGGUGGGCAUGACCCCCCCAUUCUGGCUUGUACUUCCUCUCUCUGUUGCCAGGAUUCUAGUUGGCAUUGCUCGCCUGCCACUCUCUCCAUUCCAACCGUCUCUCUUCACUCUGAACCCCCAAAGCCUGCUCAAGACCCAGUUGGUUCAGAGCUCAGGUUCACGUGCCUUGGGAGAGGGUUCUGUUAGUCUGGAAAAUGAGUGCAGCCGUCAGACAAGAAACUGGCCGGGGAUGGGGGCUGGGGGGAGGGAAGACGACCGAGGAGCCCCCCCCUUCCCCAUCCCAUGAUUUCCUUUGUCUCCUGUCCCAAUCCCAACCCACCUCCCCACCCCCAGCUUAUGAGCCUGGAGGCUUCCCAAUAAAACAGUAUUGUAACC
This 1031-nucleotide long non-coding RNA is filed under the name Mus pahari (shrew mouse). Its description in RNAcentral is "lncRNA (MGP_PahariEiJ_G0003167.1)". Lineage: Eukaryota; Metazoa; Chordata; Mammalia; Rodentia; Muridae. The record is from RNAcentral.